GCGUGCGAUCAUACCAGCACUAAAGCACCGGAUCCCAUCAGAACUUCGAAGUUGAGCGUGCUUGGGCGAGAGUAGUACUAGGAUGGGUGACCUCCUGGGAAGUCCUCGUGUUGCGUUCC
RNAcentral lists this ribosomal RNA (119 nucleotides) under Aegilops tauschii subsp. strangulata. Lineage: Eukaryota; Viridiplantae; Streptophyta; Magnoliopsida; Poales; Poaceae. The record is from RNAcentral.